This is a long non-coding RNA of Acanthopagrus latus (yellowfin seabream), 1270 nucleotides long. RefSeq lists it as uncharacterized. The record is from RefSeq and is a predicted model, not a curated record. The transcript is spliced from 4 exons. NCBI's taxonomy places the organism in Eukaryota, Metazoa, Chordata, Actinopteri, Spariformes, Sparidae.
GACAUCUCACCGAAAAUAUCCAGUUUCUGUCGCCACAAACAGCUGGAUCGUUGCCCCGUGGUCUGCUUAAAUACUGGCUCGGCGUCCUUCAAGCCCAGCUGUCGCUCUAUCACGAUUCCCUCCACCUGCUGAUUUAAAGACGGAAAGAUGAUGUGUCGUCUGUCUCUCUUCUUGGCUCAUGUCAACAUUUUGUCACCAAACAUGCAUCAUCAGCAACAGAAAACAGUAAAAUAUGGUAUGAAGCUCACCCUGAAGGAAGGGACGAUUUAGGCUCUGAUGCUAGUAGAAGAGACAACAAGCAGGGCAGCAGCUGCACAACAGGAUGCAACAAAGUUUGGAGUACAAACAGGACAAACUGAGCGAGCAUCCAAAACGCCAGGUCAGGAGUGUUUGAUGUGACCACGGUGGGAAACGGGGAAGCGAAAGUAGCAGCUGGGAGAAUUAUGAAAAACUCCCAGUGGCGAUGACAAGAAAGCGGUGAAUAAUGCUUUUAGACUUUACUGAACUGCUUGUGACCUAAAUGAGUGUGGCCCAGAACACGGCUACCGCUUUUAGCACAGUUAAUACGAGGAUAGAUUAUGGCUACUAAACACAAACCCCACAGGUGGACUGGCAAACAGUGCGCCUGUCAGCGGAGAGAAUCAUCUAAGUGGGCUUUCUUCCCUUUAUACGCUAUUUUUAUCCUAUAGCACAUUUUCCAUCCGUCUUUAUUUACUAUAACUACCUCUCAGCUGUCUUUCAUGAUGCAUUUGUGUUUGCAAGUAGGUGUGCAUGCAUGUGUGUGUCUGUGGAUGGUUACUCAGGUUGCACAGUGUAAACAGUGAAUGCACCUGUGUAAAUGACACAGUGAGAGAUGUUUAGCUGAGAGGCCAUCAGGGAAUUAGGCCUGUUGUGCAAACUGUGUCACCUGGAGGGAACGAGGAGACAAAAAAAAAAAAAGUGGCUUCACCAGUAACAGCCGUGGCUGAGCCAGCUGACAAAGACAGAUCUGGGUUCAGGAGAAUCAGCAGCUCUCCCACACCUGAGAAAGACAGAUAGCACAUGUGCAUGCAAAUGUUAGACAUGGUUUGAGUGUCAAUCCACCUGUUGGAUUUUAUUUACGAGCUGUAGUCUGGAAAAGACUCCUCUGUCACCCAUCCACACCUGAACCAGCAAACGUUCAGUCUUGCACAGCUGUGCCAGAGCUCAGGAGUCAUGAGAUGGUGAAGGUUUCUGAGAAUGUGAGCUGGGAUAGGUAGCAUAGUUUCAGAGACGGCUCAUGUGGGCAGGA